AAACAUCUUUUCUUGAUUUAAUAUGAGAUAUGACCUGCCCUAUGAAUUAUUAAAUGGCCGCGGUAUUCUGACUGUGCAAAGGUAGCAUAAUCAUUAGUUUAUUAAUUGUGAGCUUGUAUGAAUGGUUGGACGAAAUAAUAACUGUCUUUUAUAUAAAAUUAGAAUUUAAAUUUUGAGUUAAAAUGCUUAAAUUUAUUAAAGGACGAGAAGACCCUAUAGAUCUUUAUUUUUUAUUUUUUUUAUUUUUGGUUUAUUUUAAUUGAUUAAAUUUUUUGUUGGGGUGAUAUGGGAAUAUUGUUUAAUUAAACUUUUUAUUUUUAUAUACAAUGAUUUUUGGAUAAAUGACCUUAUUUUAAUGUUAAAAGAUUAGAUACCUUAGGGAUAACAGCGUAAUUUUCUUUGAGAGUUCUUAUUGACAAGAUAGAUUGCGACCUCGAUGUUGGAUUAAGAAUAUUUUUAGGUGUAGGUGCUUUAUUAAUAGGUCUGUUCGACCUUUAAAUUCUUACAUGAUCUG
RNAcentral lists this ribosomal RNA (514 nucleotides) under Carausius nodosus. RNAcentral describes it as "partial 16S ribosomal RNA". The stretch from base 381 to 514 matches the Rfam family "Bacterial large subunit ribosomal RNA", at positions 2473 to 2607 of the family's 2925-position model. Lineage: Eukaryota; Metazoa; Arthropoda; Insecta; Phasmatodea; Lonchodidae. The record is from RNAcentral.